This 556-nucleotide long non-coding RNA is filed under the name Bos taurus (domestic cattle). RNAcentral's name for it is "long non-coding RNA NONBTAT025890". Lineage: Eukaryota; Metazoa; Chordata; Mammalia; Artiodactyla; Bovidae. The record is from RNAcentral.
ACUAAUUUCAGUCCCUAAUACAUGCCUUGAACAUAACAGAUCGUCAGUGAAUAUUUGGGGGAAUCACAUUUGUUGUAUUGGUUUUUGUGAACAAAUCUCAUAAGUGUCACAGUUGGAGUAAAGCACAGAGAAGCUGAUCCUUUGAAUCAUCUUAAACAGGUGGGAAGCCACUGUCUCCUUAGUAAAGACGAAGGAGAUUUGAGUGACAAGAAGGUUUUCAGCCCAUCCGAAGGUAUUUAUUCUAAUACUUGAUCCCAGCUAGCCAAAUGGAACAAAUAAUCUUCCAUAAGCAGGCGCUUUUUCUCCCUACCUAAUGCCCUUCCUCGUCCCGGCCGAAGGAAGAGCAAGAUGGUAACAUAAAACAAGAAGACAACGUGAAGAGCAUCUCCCUGUUGAUUGUUUUGCCCAAUCUUAGUUAAUAGGACUAGAUUUGAUCAUUCUUGGGGGACAAUCAGUGUUAAUAUAUAUUUGGUUCCUUAGUUUUCUCAUAAUAUACUCAUUUAUUUUUUUGCCCACUCAAUUAACAUAUAAUUACCAAUCAACCAGUAAAUGAAAA